RNAcentral lists this transfer RNA (59 nucleotides) under Parhyale hawaiensis. Its description in RNAcentral is "tRNA-Ser". The record is from RNAcentral. Lineage: Eukaryota; Metazoa; Arthropoda; Malacostraca; Amphipoda; Hyalidae.
UAUUAAGUAUAACCAUAUACGUAUGUUUUGAAAACGUAAAAAGAAUUUAUUUUCAAUAG